This 492-nucleotide ribosomal RNA is filed under the name uncultured bacterium. RNAcentral describes it as "bacterial SSU rRNA". It matches the Rfam family "Bacterial small subunit ribosomal RNA", at positions 28 to 526 of the family's 1533-position model. The record is from RNAcentral.
GACGAACGCUGGCGGCGUGCUUAACACAUGCAAGUCGAGCGGAAAGGCCACUUCGGUGGUACUCGAGCGGCGAACGGGUGAGUAACACGUGAGUAAUCUGCCCCUGGCUUUGGGAUAGCCACCGGAAACGGUGAUUAAUACCGGAUAUGACCAGCUUCCGCAUGGUGGUUGGUGGAAAGUUUUUCGGCCAGGGAUGUGCUCGCGGCCUAUCAGCUUGAUGGUGAGGUAAUGGCUCACCAUGGCUUCGACGGGUAGCCGGCCUGAGAGGGUGACCGGUCACACUGGGACUGAGACACGGCCCAGACUCCUACGGGAGGCAGCAGUGGGGAAUAUUGGACAAUGGGCGGAAGCCUGAUCCAGCAACGCCGCGUGAGGGAUGACGGCCUUCGGGUUGUAAACCUCUUUCGCCUGUGACGAAGCGAUCCUUUUGGGGAGUGACGGUAACAGGUAAAGAAGCACCGGCCAACUACGUGCCAGCAGCCGCCGUAACAC